Procambarus clarkii (red swamp crayfish) is the source of this 402-nucleotide non-coding RNA. The record is from RefSeq and is a predicted model, not a curated record. Lineage: Eukaryota; Metazoa; Arthropoda; Malacostraca; Decapoda; Cambaridae.
GCUGGCUUGUUCAAGGUCCGCUCGAGUUGCCGCAACACAUAUAUAUACACCUGUUCACCAGGUGUAUACGACAGUGUUGUCUGGAGACUUGUACUAGUCGCACUUCAGAUAUAAACUAUGGCGCUUUUGCGUUGUGUAGCUGUGUCGCUGGUGUUGCUGGUUGUGUUGCAGUUGGUCGUGGCUCAGUAUGCCUACGACCGCCGGUACGGGCACGUCUACGGUUAUGGCAACGACUAUGAUGGCUACCGCGUGCCCUAUGGUUAUGGCUACCAACGCAUCUACGAAUACAGGCCUCAUGAUCGACACGGGUUCUACCGCUACUGAAACCUACCGGUGAUCAUGUUUACAGUAAAUUAUGUAAAGUGAUAUAUGAAAGAAAAGUGAAUAAAAGUGACCCUAGUA